CACGCAGUAAACGAUGAGUACUAGCUGUUGGAGUCGGUGUAAAGGCUCUAGUGGCGAAGCUAACGCGAUAAGUACUCCGCCUGGGGACUACGGCCGCAAGGCUAAAACUCAAAGGAAUUGACGGGGACCCGCAAAAGCGGUGGAGCAUGUGGUUUAAUUCGAUGCAACGCGAAGAACCUUAACUGGUCUUGACAUCCUGCGAACUUUCUAGAGAUAGAUUGGUGCCUUCGGGAACGCAGUGACAGUUGCUGCACGGCUGUCGUCAGCUCGUGUUGUGAAAUGUUGGGUUAAGUCCCGCAACGAGCGCAACCCCUAUUG
This 318-nucleotide ribosomal RNA is filed under the name Francisella tularensis subsp. holarctica. Its description in RNAcentral is "bacterial SSU rRNA". It matches the Rfam family "Bacterial small subunit ribosomal RNA", at positions 796 to 1110 of the family's 1533-position model. The record is from RNAcentral. Lineage: Bacteria; Pseudomonadati; Pseudomonadota; Gammaproteobacteria; Thiotrichales; Francisellaceae.